GCUAUUGGCAGUUUGAUGCUGAUUGACAUCUCAUUUCACCUCUUGUUGAAAGAAGCAUUUAUUUUGACAUUUGGCGGCACAUAAUUCAAAUCGAGGAUGAGUAAAAUAGAAAAUUAACGUUGGUUGCGAUAUACAAAAGAAGAAAAUAAUAUUUCCACAGCUCCACGAGCUAUUUUCGAAAGCAUCAUAAUUAAAGACCAAUUAAACAUGAAAAGAAAGGGAGAGAUAUCAGACUUCAUUUUUACAGAAGCACAAACAGGCAGAUAAGGUUCAAACAGACCCCAGCCCUUGCAUCACUACUGGACCCAGAGCAGCCCCCUCCCUGAGGCUCGUCAGAGUCAGUGUGGUCAGACUUCACAAGGACCCAGUCAACCACCAGCAGAUGUAUCAAGGGAUGACACAGAGACCUCUGGCUCUGAGCAAGACAGUGAGCCAGAGCUGCCAGGAGAUGUCAUCGAGCCCCUCCCAACUGCAUCAAGCCCCAGAUAUGCUGUUCCAAAAGGACCCAAUGACAUUUCAAGAUCCAGAGAAGAGGGUUCUGUACAGACGUGUUUGAAAUCAUUUCCCAGAACUCGGCAUGGUACUAGGAGAAGGGCUUUCAACAGCUCCUGGUAUAAAGGACAAUUCAUGGCUUUAAUAUUCUGUCAGUCAAGAUUCAACUUAUUGUUUCGCCUGUAUGCAUUUUUCUCUGCCCAAUACACCUGAAUUUGCUUUCACAUCACAUUCAGGUUUUUGUAACAGGAAAAAGGCGCUGUUUAAAGAUUCUGGGUUUAAGCUCCAUUUGCAGGCAGAGCAUCAUAUCAAUGCUAUGUAUGCUUGGAAUCAGCAUAAAAUGGCUAUUGACAGCAACUCAUCAAUGUUAGAUGUCAUAAAUGAGGACCGGAAUAAGAAAGUGGAGGAAAACUGUACUUACAUUAUCCCAAUUUCAGAUGUGCUUCUAUUAACUGUCACUCAGUAUACCGCAGAGAGGUCAUCGAGAGUCAAAUCAAAUUUAAUCAAAUUUAUUUAUAUAGCCCUUCGUACAUCAGCUGAUAUCUCAAAGUGCUGUACAGAAACCCAGCCUAAAACCCCAAACAGCAAGCAAUGCAGGUGUAGAUGCACGGUGGUUAGGAAAAACUCCCUAGAAAGGCCAAAACCUAGGAAGAAACCUAGAGAGGAACCAGGCUGACUCUCACAGUCUGCUGACUCUCACAACAAGGGCCAUUUUUUUGACAAUCUUAAAAGAAAUAGCAAAGCAUGACCCUCUCAUAGAGAAAAAGAUGAAUGCAUGUGGCAAUGCUAAAUACACAAGCCACCAAAUCCAGAACAAAGUUCCUGAGGGCUUAGCUGAGAUGGUACAAAGUGAAAUAAUGAGAGAAGUAAAAGAGAAGUUUUUAGUGUAAUUGCAGAUUUUAACGAAACAAUAACAAAUUACUUUAUUUGUGAGGUACUAUUACUACGGGGCCGUCCACAAAAGCUUUUAACACUUUCAGUCAGCUGAAAGCUUAGAUGCAGCAGGUCUCACAAAAAUAAUUGAUUGCCUUGAAAACGGUCUGGACUACAGAAAUAAUCUUAUGAGAGGAAAGCAUUCUGUUGUGUGUGUGCACGGAUUAAAAAGAGUGUAAGAUUUGCAUUUUAUGUGCACUCUAAUGCACAUUGUUUGAAUUUGGUUCUUGUUGAUGCUGUAAAAUCAGUACCUGAGGCAUUUAA
Molecule: long non-coding RNA, 1689 nt
Organism: Oncorhynchus masou masou (cherry salmon)
Lineage: Eukaryota; Metazoa; Chordata; Actinopteri; Salmoniformes; Salmonidae
Exons: 4
Source: RefSeq, a predicted model, not a curated record